AGCGAACGCUGGCGGCAGGCUUAACACAUGCAAGUCGAGCGGGCACCUUCGGGUGUCAGCGGCAGACGGGUGAGUAACACGUGGGAACGUACCCUUCGGUUCGGAAUAACGCUGGGAAACUAGCGCUAAUACCGGAUACGCCCUUAUGGGGAAAGGUUUACUGCCGAAGGAUCGGCCCGCGUCUGAUUAGCUAGUUGGUGGGGUAACGGCCUACCAAGGCGACGAUCAGUAGCUGGUCUGAGAGGAUGAUCAGCCACACUGGGACUGAGACACGGCCCAGGCUCCUACGGGAGGCAGCAGUGGGGAAUAUUGGACAAUGGGCGCAAGCCUGAUCCAGCCAUGCCGCGUGAGUGAUGAAGGCCUUAGGGUUGUAAAGCUCUUUUGUCCGGGACGAUAAUGACGGUACCGGAAGAAUAAGCCCCGGCUAACUUCGUG
RNAcentral lists this ribosomal RNA (435 nucleotides) under uncultured bacterium. RNAcentral's name for it is "partial 16S ribosomal RNA". It matches the Rfam family "Bacterial small subunit ribosomal RNA", at positions 29 to 507 of the family's 1533-position model. The record is from RNAcentral.